GUAAAAAAUUUAUAAGAAUAUGAUGUUGGUUCAGAUUAAGCGCUAAAUAAGGACAUGACACAUGCGAAUCAUACGUUUAUUAUUGAUAAGAUAAUAAAUAUGUGGUGUAAACGUGAGUAAUUUUAUUAGGAAUUAAUGAACUAUAGAAUAAGCUAAAUACUUAAUAUAUUAUUAUAUAAAAAUAAUUUAUAUAAUAAAAAGGAUAUAUAUAUAAUAUAUAUUUAUCUAUAGUCAAGCCAAUAAUGGUUUAGGUAGUAGGUUUAUUAAGAGUUAAACCUAGCCAACGAUCCAUAAUCGAUAAUGAAAGUUAGAACGAUCACGUUGACUCUGAAAUAUAGUCAAUAUCUAUAAGAUACAGCAGUGAGGAAUAUUGGACAAUGAUCGAAAGAUUGAUCCAGUUACUUAUUAGGAUGAUAUAUAAAAAUAUUUUAUUUUAUUUAGUUCCGGGGCCCGGCCACGGGAGCCGGAACCCCGAAAGGAGAAAUAUUAAAUAUUUAUAAUAAUAAUAAUAAUAAUAUAUAUAUAUAAAUUGAUUAAAAAUAAAAUCCAUAAAUAAUUAAAAUAAUGAUAUUAAUUACCAUAUAUAUUUUUAUAUGGAUAUAUAUAUUAAUAAUAAUAUUAAUUUUAUUAUUAUUAAUAAUAUAUUUUAAUAGUCCUGACUAAUAUUUGUGCCAGCAGUCGCGGUAACACAAAGAGGGCGAGCGUUAAUCAUAAUGGUUUAAAGGAUCCGUAGAAUGAAUUAUAUAUUAUAAUUUAGAGUUAAUAAAAUUGAUUAAAGAAUUAUAAUAGUAAAGAUGAAAUAAUAAUAAUAAUUAUAAGACUAAUAUAUGUGAAAAUAUUAAUUAAAUAUUAACUGACAUUGAGGGAUUAAAACUAGAGUAGCGAAACGGAUUCGAUACCCGUGUAGUUCUAGUAGUAAACUAUGAAUACAAUUAUUUAUAAUAUAUAUUAUAUAUAAAUAAUAAAUGAAAAUGAAAGUAUUCCACCUGAAGAGUACGUUAGCAAUAAUGAAACUCAAAACAAUAGACGGUUACAGACUUAAGCAGUGGAGCAUGUUAUUUAAUUCGAUAAUCCACGACUAACCUUACCAUAUUUUGAAUAUUAUAAUAAUUAUUAUAAUUAUUAUAUUACAGGCGUUACAUUGUUGUCUUUAGUUCGUGCUGCAAAGUUUUAGAUUAAGUUCAUAAACGAACAAAACUCCAUAUAUAUAAUUUUAAUUAUAUAUAAUUUUAUAUUAUUUAUUAAUAUAAAGAAAGGAAUUAAGACAAAUCAUAAUGAUCCUUAUAAUAUGGGUAAUAGACGUGCUAUAAUAAAAUGAUAAUAAAAUUAUAUAAAAUAUAUUUAAUUAUAUUUAAUUAAUAAUAUAAAACAUUUUAAUUUUUAAUAUAUUUUUUUAUUAUAUAUUAAUAUGAAUUAUAAUCUGAAAUUCGAUUAUAUGAAAAAAGAAUUGCUAGUAAUACGUAAAUUAGUAUGUUACGGUGAAUAUUCUAACUGUUUCGCACUAAUCACUCAUCACGCGUUGAAACAUAUUAUUAUCUUAUUAUUUAUAUAAUAUUUUUUAAUAAAUAUUAAUAAUUAUUAAUUUAUAUUUAUUUAUAUCAGAAAUAAUAUGAAUUAAUGCGAAGUUGAAAUACAGUUACCGUAGGGGAACCUGCGGUGGGCUUAUAAAUAUCUUAAAUAUUCUUACA
RNAcentral lists this non-coding RNA (1688 nucleotides) under Saccharomyces cerevisiae YJM681. RNAcentral describes it as "15S ribosomal RNA". It matches the Rfam family "Bacterial small subunit ribosomal RNA". The record is from RNAcentral. Lineage: Eukaryota; Fungi; Ascomycota; Saccharomycetes; Saccharomycetales; Saccharomycetaceae.